AAUAUUGGGACAUAUAAAAAAGACAACUCUGUUCCGCAGAGUAACUGUUGACAUUAUAGUUGCGCAGGCACUUUGUUGACUCUAGAGAACCUCGGGCCAAUCGCACAUCCCCGUGACAGCGACUUUGCAUUUGGAUGUCAUUCAUAUCAACUUUCAAUGCCAGUUUCUCUGCCUACCAUGGUGACCACGGGUAACAGGGAAUCAAGGUUCCAUUCUGUACAGGGACCCUGAGAAACGGCUACCACAUGCAAUGAAGGCAACAGGCGCGCAAAUGAGCCACUCCCUACGUGGGAAGGUAGUGA
Pelobates cultripes (western spadefoot toad) is the source of this 302-nucleotide non-coding RNA. Lineage: Eukaryota; Metazoa; Chordata; Amphibia; Anura; Pelobatidae. The record is from the annotation of a GenBank genome assembly.